GGUAAGAUGCCUGAAUUUAAAGGGUCACUUUGAUAGAGUGGAUAAUGUAAAUUAUUUUACUCUUACUA
This 68-nucleotide transfer RNA is filed under the name Glyptelasma gigas. Its description in RNAcentral is "tRNA-Ile". Lineage: Eukaryota; Metazoa; Arthropoda; Thecostraca; Poecilasmatidae. The record is from RNAcentral.